Non-coding RNA from Drosophila melanogaster (fruit fly), 462 nucleotides. The record is from Ensembl. NCBI's taxonomy places the organism in Eukaryota, Metazoa, Arthropoda, Insecta, Diptera, Drosophilidae.
CCAAGAAUCAAUUUAACCAUCUUCACAGGCUCACGCAAGGCAAACGAGAGAUAGAGCAUAGAGCAUAGAGCAUCAUCAACCUGCUAACCGCAAACUGGAUGGACGGAAAAGUCGAGGAAAAACUAGGAGACCACACACGCAUGCAGUGCUACAAAUGAGACAACACCUGUCCAGGAGAUCCUGGAUAUGGAACGGCAUGGUAUGGGAUUGCCAAUGGGAAUGGGAAUGGGAAUGGGAAUGGAGGCGAUGGCAAAGGUAAAGGCAAAGACAAGGCAACCAGAGACUCGGUUGGCAAGGCUCAAGUGGUUGGAGGAGAGCUUGGCAGGAACUUUGGCCCACAUUGACGUGCCGACUGAGCCAACGAAGAACCGACUGGCUGGCUGGCUGACUGACUGACAUUUGAAUUACAAGCGGUGAAAGCUGUGGAAAUGGUUGGUGUUGAGGGGAAAAUGGGGAUAUACU